RNAcentral lists this transfer RNA (76 nucleotides) under Nocardioides sp. Soil777. RNAcentral's name for it is "tRNA-Ala". It matches the Rfam family "tRNA". Rfam says of the family: Transfer RNA (tRNA) molecules are approximately 80 nucleotides in length. The record is from RNAcentral. Lineage: Bacteria; Bacillati; Actinomycetota; Actinomycetes; Propionibacteriales; Nocardioidaceae. RNAcentral also lists the same sequence under 3 other names.
GGGGGUGUGGCGCAGCUGGUAGCGCGUCUCGUUCGCAUCGAGAAGGCCAGGGGUUCGAGUCCCCUCACCUCCACCC